UAAGCGACUAAGCGUACACGGUGGAUGCCCUGGCAGUCAGAGGCGAUGAAGGACGUGCUAAUCUGCGAUAAGCGUCGGUAAGGUGAUAUGAACCGUUAUAACCGGCGAUUUCCGAAUGGGGAAACCCAGUGUGUUUCGACACACUAUCAUUAACUGAAUCCAUAGGUUAAUGAGGCGAACCGGGGGAACUGAAACAUCUAAGUACCCCGAGGAAAAGAAAUCAACCGAGAUUCCCCCAGUAGCGGCGAGCGAACGGGGAGCAGCCCAGAGCCUGAAUCAGUGUGUGUGUUAGUGGAAGCGUCUGGAAAGGCGCGCGAUACAGGGUGACAGCCCCGUACACAAAAAUGCACAUGCUGUGAGCUCGAUGAGUAGGGCGGGACACGUGGUAUCCUGUCUGAAUAUGGGGGGACCAUCCUCCAAGGCUAAAUACUCCUGACUGACCGAUAGUGAACCAGUACCGUGAGGGAAAGGCGAAAAGAACCCCGGCGAGGGGAGUGAAAAAGAACCUGAAACCGUGUACGUACAAGCAGUGGGAGCCUCUUUUAUGGGGUGACUGCGUACCUUUUGUAUAAUGGGUCAGCGACUUAUAUUCUGUAGCAAGGUUAACCGAAUAGGGGAGCCGAAGGGAAACCGAGUCUUAACUGGGCGUUAAGUUGCAGGGUAUAGACCCGAAACCCGGUGAUCUAGCCAUGGGCAGGUUGAAGGUUGGGUAACACUAACUGGAGGACCGAACCGACUAAUGUUGAAAAAUUAGCGGAUGACUUGUGGCUGGGGGUGAAAGGCCAAUCAAACCGGGAGAUAGCUGGUUCUCCCCGAAAGCUAUUUAGGUAGCGCCUCGUGAAUUCAUCUCCGGGGGUAGAGCACUGUUUCGGCAAGGGGGUCAUCCCGACUUACCAACCCGAUGCAAACUGCGAAUACCGGAGAAUGUUAUCACGGGAGACACACGGCGGGUGCUAACGUCCGUCGUGAAGAGGGAAACAACCCAGACCGCCAGCUAAGGUCCCAAAGUCAUGGUUAAGUGGGAAACGAUGUGGGAAGGCCCAGACAGCCAGGAUGUUGGCUUAGAAGCAGCCAUCAUUUAAAGAAAGCGUAAUAGCUCACUGGUCGAGUCGGCCUGCGCGGAAGAUGUAACGGGGCUAAACCAUGCACCGAAGCUGCGGCAGCGACGCUUAUGCGUUGUUGGGUAGGGGAGCGUUCUGUAAGCCUGUGAAGGUGUGCUGUGAGGCAUGCUGGAGGUAUCAGAAGUGCGAAUGCUGACAUAAGUAACGAUAAAGCGGGUGAAAAGCCCGCUCGCCGGAAGACCAAGGGUUCCUGUCCAACGUUAAUCGGGGCAGGGUGAGUCGACCCCUAAGGCGAGGCCGAAAGGCGUAGUCGAUGGGAAACAGGUUAAUAUUCCUGUACUUGGUGUUACUGCGAAGGGGGGACGGAGAAGGCUAUGUUGGCCGGGCGACGGUUGUCCCGGUUUAAGCGUGUAGGCUGGUUUUCCAGGCAAAUCCGGAAAAUCAAGGCUGAGGCGUGAUGACGAGGCACUACGGUGCUGAAGCAACAAAUGCCCUGCUUCCAGGAAAAGCCUCUAAGCAUCAGGUAACAUCAAAUCGUACCCCAAACCGACACAGGUGGUCAGGUAGAGAAUACCAAGGCGCUUGAGAGAACUCGGGUGAAGGAACUAGGCAAAAUGGUGCCGUAACUUCGGGAGAAGGCACGCUGAUAUGUAGGUGAAGCGACUUGCUCGUGGAGCUGAAAUCAGUCGAAGAUACCAGCUGGCUGCAACUGUUUAUUAAAAACACAGCACUGUGCAAACACGAAAGUGGACGUAUACGGUGUGACGCCUGCCCGGUGCCGGAAGGUUAAUUGAUGGGGUCAGCGCAAGCGAAGCUCUUGAUCGAAGCCCCGGUAAACGGCGGCCGUAACUAUAACGGUCCUAAGGUAGCGAAAUUCCUUGUCGGGUAAGUUCCGACCUGCACGAAUGGCGUAAUGAUGGCCAGGCUGUCUCCACCCGAGACUCAGUGAAAUUGAACUCGCUGUGAAGAUGCAGUGUACCCGCGGCAAGACGGAAAGACCCCGUGAACCUUUACUAUAGCUUGACACUGAACAUUGAGCCUUGAUGUGUAGGAUAGGUGGGAGGCUUUGAAGUGUGGACGCCAGUCUGCAUGGAGCCGACCUUGAAAUACCACCCUUUAAUGUUUGAUGUUCUAACGUUGACCCGUAAUCCGGGUUGCGGACAGUGUCUGGUGGGUAGUUUGACUGGGGCGGUCUCCUCCUAAAGAGUAACGGAGGAGCACGAAGGUUGGCUAAUCCUGGUCGGACAUCAGGAGGUUAGUGCAAUGGCAUAAGCCAGCUUGACUGCGAGCGUGACGGCGCGAGCAGGUGCGAAAGCAGGUCAUAGUGAUCCGGUGGUUCUGAAUGGAAGGGCCAUCGCUCAACGGAUAAAAGGUACUCCGGGGAUAACAGGCUGAUACCGCCCAAGAGUUCAUAUCGACGGCGGUGUUUGGCACCUCGAUGUCGGCUCAUCACAUCCUGGGGCUGAAGUAGGUCCCAAGGGUAUGGCUGUUCGCCAUUUAAAGUGGUACGCGAGCUGGGUUUAGAACGUCGUGAGACAGUUCGGUCCCUAUCUGCCGUGGGCGCUGGAGAACUGAGGGGGGCUGCUCCUAGUACGAGAGGACCGGAGUGGACGCAUCACUGGUGUUCGGGUUGUCAUGCCAAUGGCACUGCCCGGUAGCUAAAUGCGGAAGAGAUAAGUGCUGAAAGCAUCUAAGCACGAAACUUGCCCCGAGAUGAGUUCUCCCUGACUCCUUGAGAGUCCUGAAGGAACGUUGAAGACGACGACGUUGAUAGGCCGGGUGUGUAAGCGCAGCGAUGCGUUGAGCUAACCGGUACUAAUGAACCGUGAGGCUUAACCU
Molecule: ribosomal RNA, 2900 nt
Filed under: Escherichia coli BCE007_MS-11
Lineage: Bacteria; Pseudomonadati; Pseudomonadota; Gammaproteobacteria; Enterobacterales; Enterobacteriaceae
Description: bacterial LSU rRNA
Rfam family: Bacterial large subunit ribosomal RNA
Source: RNAcentral